UACGUAGGGUCCGAGCGUUGUCCGGAUUUAUUGGGCGUAAAGAGCUCGUAGGCGGUUCCGUAAGUCAGAUGUGAAAACUCAGGGCUCAACCCGGAGACGCCAUCUGAUACUGCGGUGACUGGAGUCUGGUAGGGGAACACGGAAUUCCUGGUGUAGCGGUGAAAUGCGCAGAUAUCAGGAAGAACACCCGUGGCGAAGGCGGCUCUCUGGGACGGUACUGACGCUGAGACGCGAAGGCGUGGGGAGCGAACAGG
This 254-nucleotide ribosomal RNA is filed under the name uncultured bacterium. RNAcentral describes it as "partial 16S ribosomal RNA". It matches the Rfam family "Bacterial small subunit ribosomal RNA", at positions 524 to 776 of the family's 1533-position model. The record is from RNAcentral.